AGUCCUGGAUGCUCCACCUCCCAGUCAUCUCCUGUUAAAAUGCCUGGGAAAACAGCAGAAGGUGACCCAAGCACCUGGACAUCUGCCACCCAAAUGGGAGACCUGGAUAGAGUUCCUGACUCCUGAUUUCAGCCUGUCCCAGCUCUGACAGUUGUAGUCAGUUGACUUGAAACUGAAAUUCUGGAUGGCCAUGCACAUGAAACCUUGGAUGGAAGCAGUUUCUGCAAGCUGGCACUGCAUCCCCCUGGAGAAGUCACCUCCUGCUGAGAAGCCGCCUGCUGCAUGAACCCUGUCUUGACUCCAUUUCCAAUAAGGCCCCUUUUUAGCAUGAAGCAGCCAGAGCAGUCAUCUCCCAGUUCCCCUAACAGAAGUUAUGGUUCAUUCUUUGGGGCGGGGGGAGGGAAUGUGAGGAGUCAGAUGAGUUAAUAGGCAGUCAGUGGAAAGUGAGUGUGGAAAAUGUUCUCUCCAAAAGUUAUCUUUAGCAGGGUCAGAAGUACCUGCCUGCCUGCCUGCCAACUCUUUGGGAGCUUCCAGUCUUAUCGUCAGCAAGUAGUGGUGACUCCACCCUUCUGAGCUCCCAGUUUACUGUAAAACAAAUUAGGUAUCCUGCCCUUGUGAUGGCUCUUUUGGUUUAUGAGCAAACCAGACAGCGUAAAAGAUUGCAAAUUAGGUCUUUUGGUGGGUUUUGUCCCCAGCUUGUAACUGAAUGUCAAUCCGACUGUCAAAUUUUUUGUCUUUCAUUUAUUUAUUUAUUUAUUUAUUUAUUCAAAAUUGUGCUUAAGAACCCCAGAGCCACACAGCCCUUCAGGUUUUGCCUCUCUUGGAAGCCCCCUCCAUGCCACUCUGGAUUGGUCUCUGACUCUAAUAAAUCUUGCUUUUAAAUCUUAAAAAAAAGGUUUACACCAUCAUCUAUCAUCAGGGAAGCACAAACAAAAUGAAGAAUGAAAGAUGAUAUUACACAACUAUUAGAGCAACCCAAAUCCAGAACACCAACAACAGCAACAGAAACUCUCAUUCAUUGCUGGCUAGAAUUAAACAUCAUACAGACAAGUUGGAAUAAUUUGAGCUUUUCUAAGCAGGUGGUAGGCCACAUUUGGUCUUUCUAUAGAUUCUGGCUGACUUCACCAGAGAGACUUUUGUGCCAGAUGGAGUCUCCUUGCUGGAGUACUUUGAUAAGGUCAGGGAGAAGAGUUGGGCCAUCUGGCCAUCCCAAAGGACAUCUCUCAAACCCAUUACAUUGACAGCAUCCUGAUGCUGGAUGAUGAGCAAGGAACUGAAUGUUGCACUGGUGGCCCUAGAAAAGCAGCACGGACUGACACUGGCUGCACAGGGAGAGGUACAGCACACACCUGAGAUCCUGGAAAGACCACAAUCAGAGCAUCAAGGCCUCUGAAACACAUCUCUGGGGGAGUUCUUGGGAAAUAGGUCACAUGACCACAUGAUGCAGUGUACCCGUUCAGCUAGAAUUGCACAAGGUCCUGUCAAACUUGGUGAACAGCUAUGAGGUCCAUGAGGAACAUGGCACAUCCCAGAUGGACAACAGUAGAGGACACACAUAUAUGGCAUAAGCAGAGACUCCAGGCCCCUUUCCCCAGUUCCACUACCCAGCUCACACCUGUGGUAUACAAAGGUCGGGUUCUCAUAGAGUUGACCAAAAGAGAAGGAAAGCUCCCUGUACUUACUGCAGAUGGACUGACUUGUGUGGGGGUGUAAACUGAUAGAUAUGGAAGGGAUGCUUUACAGUGACAUGCAGAGGUGACCCUGAAAGACAGCAAGACAGGAGUCUUCUCUUGGGCAGAGCUGUGAGAAGAGUGUCUGUUCAGCCUCUCCUAUGGAAAAAAGUGUCAGAGGUGGGACUCUAUGGAGAUUUCUUGGCAGUAGCCAAUUACUUGACCAUCUUAUUGGGUCUAGAAGGAAAACUUGUGUGGAAUUCAGAUUUCUCCUCAAAGCAGUAAAUGCCAGCUACAACCAGCUC
Non-coding RNA from Oryctolagus cuniculus (rabbit), 1975 nucleotides. The record is from RefSeq and is a predicted model, not a curated record. NCBI's taxonomy places the organism in Eukaryota, Metazoa, Chordata, Mammalia, Lagomorpha, Leporidae.